Non-coding RNA from Phrynosoma platyrhinos (Desert horned lizard), 74 nucleotides. Lineage: Eukaryota; Metazoa; Chordata; Lepidosauria; Squamata; Phrynosomatidae. The record is from the annotation of a GenBank genome assembly.
GACCCAAUGUAGUGUAGUGGUUUGAAGUUUGGACGGCAACUCUAAAGACCAGGGUUGAAACCCCUGUUUGGCCA